CCAGAUUAGGUAGUAACAACCAUUUGAGUCUGGGAUUUCUGAAUGGGGAAACCCACUUACAUAAGUAAGUAUCCUUACCUGAAUACAUAGGGUAAGGAGGCGAACCGGGGGAACUGAAACAUCUAAGUACCCCGAGGAAAAGAAAUCAACCGAGAUUCCGAAAGUAGCGGCGAGCGAAAUUGGACUAGCCCUUAAGCUUUACACGCGUUAGACGAACGGUCUGGAAAGUCCGACGAUACAGGGUGAUAGUCCCGUAGUUGACGACGUGUGUUCAGUGAAAUCGAGUAGGGCGGGACACGUGAUAUCCUGUCUGAAUAUGGGGGGACCAUCCUCCAAGGCUAAAUACUACUGACUGACCGAUAGUGAACCAGUACCGUGAGGGAAAGGCGAAAAGAACCCCUGUGAGGGGAGUGAAAUAGAACCUGAAACCGUGUACGUACAAGCAGUAGGAGCAGGCUU
This 459-nucleotide ribosomal RNA is filed under the name Vibrio parahaemolyticus. RNAcentral describes it as "partial 23S ribosomal RNA". It matches the Rfam family "Bacterial large subunit ribosomal RNA", at positions 77 to 586 of the family's 2925-position model. Lineage: Bacteria; Pseudomonadati; Pseudomonadota; Gammaproteobacteria; Vibrionales; Vibrionaceae. The record is from RNAcentral.